UGGGGAAUAUUGGGCAAUGGGCGCAAGCCUGACCCAGCAACGCCGCGUGAAGGAAGAAGGCUUUCGGGUUGUAAACUUCUUUUGUCAGGGACGAGUAGAAGACGGUACCUGACGAAUAAGCCACGGCUAACUACGUGCCAGCAGCCGCGGUAAUACGUAGGUGGCAAGCGUUGUCCGGAUUUACUGGGUGUAAAGGGCGUGUAGCCGGGAAGGCAAGUCAGAUGUGAAAUCCACGGGCUCAACUCGUGAACUGCAUUUGAAACUGUUUUUCUUGAGUAUCGGAGAGGCAAUCGGAAUUCCUAGUGUAGCGGUGAAAUGCGUAGAUAUUAGGAGGAACACCAGUGGCGAAGGCGGAUUGCUGGACGACAACUGACGGUGAGGCGCGAAAGCGUGGGGAGCAAACA
RNAcentral lists this ribosomal RNA (404 nucleotides) under uncultured bacterium. RNAcentral describes it as "bacterial SSU rRNA". It matches the Rfam family "Bacterial small subunit ribosomal RNA", at positions 355 to 774 of the family's 1533-position model. The record is from RNAcentral. RNAcentral also lists the same sequence under 2 other names.